Molecule: non-coding RNA, 276 nt
Organism: Biomphalaria pfeifferi
Lineage: Eukaryota; Metazoa; Mollusca; Gastropoda; Planorbidae
Source: the annotation of a GenBank genome assembly
GAACUAGUGAUACACUUUAUAUUUUAACAGCGAUGUGUGUGCAAUUAACAAAUCCAACUGUAGACGAAGAGAAGAUGAAUGUGAUGCAACUAUUCAGAGAAUCUCCAAUACAAAAUGACAAUUUUAUUCAAACUUUUGAACUGAGAUCUCGAUCAUGACCAUCAUUAUCAUCAACAUGAUGUUCAGGGGAAAAAAUUGUAAGUUUAUCAAGUUGUAUUUCUGGUUGUGAGCAAAUUAAAGGAAAAAAAAAACAUUACUGACUGAAAAAUACUGAAU